RNAcentral lists this ribosomal RNA (382 nucleotides) under uncultured bacterium. RNAcentral describes it as "bacterial SSU rRNA". It matches the Rfam family "Bacterial small subunit ribosomal RNA", at positions 28 to 402 of the family's 1533-position model. The record is from RNAcentral.
AGCGAACGCUGGCGGCGUGCUUAACACAUGCAAGUCGAGUGCGUAGCCCUUUGUAGCAAUACAGAGGGUGGGCGCACGGCGCACGGGUGAGUAACACGUGGGUAACCUGCCCUUCGGUGGGAAUAACCCCGCGAAAGCGGGGCUAAUUCCGCAUAACAUUCCGGGGACACAUGUUCUCGGACUCAAAGGAGUGAUUCGCCGGAGGAGGGGCCCGCGCCCGAUUAGCUUGUUGGUAGGGUAACGGCCACCAAGGCUUUGAUCGGUAGCCGGUCUGAGAGGAUGGCCGGCCACACUGGAACUGAGACACGGUCCAGACUCCUACGGGAGGCAGCAGUGGGGAAUCUUGCGCAAUGGGCGAAAGCCUGACGCAGCGACGCCGCGU